CGCGGGGUGGAGCAGAGGAAGCUCAUCGGGCUCAUAACCCGAAGGUCGGUGGUUCGAAUCCACCCCCCGCAACCA
RNAcentral lists this transfer RNA (75 nucleotides) under Candidatus Peregrinibacteria bacterium. RNAcentral describes it as "tRNA-Met". It matches the Rfam family "tRNA". From Rfam's summary of the family: Transfer RNA (tRNA) molecules are approximately 80 nucleotides in length. Their secondary structure includes four short double-helical elements and three loops (D, anti-codon, and T loops). Lineage: Bacteria; Candidatus Peregrinibacteriota. The record is from RNAcentral.